GUGGGGAAUAUUGGACAAUGGGCGAAAGCCUGAUCCAGCAAUGCCGCGUGAGUGAUGAAGGCCUUAGGGUUGUAAAGCUCUUUUACCAGGGAUGAUAAUGACAGUACCUGGAGAAUAAGCUCCGGCUAACUCCGUGCCAGCAGCCGCGGUAAUACGGAGGGAGCUAGCGUUGUUCGGAAAUACUGGGCGUAAAGCGCACGUAGGCGGCGCAGCAAGUCAGGGGUGAAAUCCCGGGGCUCAACCCCGGAACUGCCCUUGAAACUGCAGUGCUAGAAUCUUGGAGAGGCGAGUGGAAUUCCGAGUGUAGAGGUGAAAUUCGUAGAUAUUCGGAAGAACACCAGUGGCGAAGGCGACUCGCUGGACAAGUAUUGACGCUGAGGUGCGAAAGCGUGGGGAGCAAA
This 401-nucleotide ribosomal RNA is filed under the name uncultured bacterium. Its description in RNAcentral is "bacterial SSU rRNA". It matches the Rfam family "Bacterial small subunit ribosomal RNA", at positions 354 to 772 of the family's 1533-position model. The record is from RNAcentral.